GACGAACGCUGGCGGCGUGCUUAACACAUGCCAGUCGAACGGAAAGGCCCUGCUUUUGUGGGGUGCUCGAGUGGCGAACGGGUGAGUAACACGUGAGUAACCUGCCCUUGACUUUGGGAUAACUUCAGGAAACUGGGGCUAAUACCGGAUAGGAGCUCCUGCUGCAUGGUGGGGGUUGGAAAGUUUCGGCGGUUGGGGAUGGACUCGCGGCUUAUCAGCUUGUUGGUGGGGUAGUGGCUUACCAAGGCUUUGACGGGUAGCCGGCCUGAGAGGGUGACCGGCCACAUUGGGACUGAGAUACGGCCCAGACUCCUACGGGAGACAGCAGUGGGGAAUAUUGCACAAUGGGCGGAAGCCUGAUGCAGCAACGCCGCGUGCGGGAUGACGGCCUUCGGGUUGUAAACCGCUUUCGCCUGGGACGAAGCGUGAGUGACGGUAAUGGGUAAAGAAGCACCGGCUAACUACGUG
Molecule: ribosomal RNA, 468 nt
Filed under: uncultured bacterium
Lineage: Bacteria
Description: partial 16S ribosomal RNA
Rfam family: Bacterial small subunit ribosomal RNA
Source: RNAcentral